UGACGACAAUGGGGGAAUUGGCUGACCCUACCGGUUUGCUAAACCGGCGCUUAAUCGCAUGCAGGUUCGAUUCCUGCUGUCGUCGU
RNAcentral lists this transfer RNA (86 nucleotides) under Yasminevirus sp. GU-2018. RNAcentral describes it as "partial tRNA-Ser(gct)". It matches the Rfam family "tRNA". Rfam says of the family: Transfer RNA (tRNA) molecules are approximately 80 nucleotides in length. Their secondary structure includes four short double-helical elements and three loops (D, anti-codon, and T loops). Lineage: Varidnaviria; Bamfordvirae; Nucleocytoviricota; Megaviricetes; Imitervirales; Mimiviridae. The record is from RNAcentral.